This 495-nucleotide ribosomal RNA is filed under the name uncultured bacterium. RNAcentral describes it as "partial 16S ribosomal RNA". It matches the Rfam family "Bacterial small subunit ribosomal RNA", at positions 28 to 507 of the family's 1533-position model. The record is from RNAcentral.
GACGAACGCUGGCGGCGUGCCUAAUACAUGCAAGUCGAACGCUGAAGGAGGAGCUUGCUCUUCUGGAUGAGUUGCGAACGGGUGAGUAACGCGUAGGUAACCUGCCUGGUAGCGGGGGAUAACUAUUGGAAACGAUAGCUAAUACCGCAUAACAGUAGAUGUUGCAUGACAUUUGCUUAAAAGGUGCAAUUGCACCACUACCAGAUGGACCUGCGUUGUAUUAGCUAGUUGGUGGGGUAACGGCUCACCAAGGCGACGAUACAUAGCCGACCUGAGAGGGUGAUCGGCCACACUGGGACUGAGACACGGCCCAGACUCCUACGGGAGGCAGCAGUAGGGAAUCUUCGGCAAUGGACGGAAGUCUGACCGAGCAACGCCGCGUGAGUGAAGAAGGGUGUCGGAUCGUAAAGCUCUGUUGUAAGAGAAGAACGAGUGUGAGAGUGGAAAGUUCACACUGUGACGGUAGCUUACCAGAAAGGGACGGCUAACUACGUG